This 787-nucleotide ribosomal RNA is filed under the name Niesslia mucida. RNAcentral describes it as "partial large subunit ribosomal RNA". It matches the Rfam family "Eukaryotic large subunit ribosomal RNA", at positions 79 to 896 of the family's 3401-position model. Lineage: Eukaryota; Fungi; Ascomycota; Sordariomycetes; Hypocreales; Niessliaceae. The record is from RNAcentral.
CCCAGUAACGGCGAGUGAAGCGGCAAUCAGCUCAAAUUUGAAAUCUGGUCCCUCAGGGCCCGAGUUGUAAUUUGUAGAGGAUGCUUUUGGCGAGGUGCCUUCCGAGUUCCCUGGAACGGGACGCCAUAGAGGGUGAGAGCCCCGUCUGGUUGGAUACCAAGCCUCUGUAAAGCUCCUUCGACGAGUCGAGUAGUUUGGGAAUGCUGCUCUAAAUGGGAGGUAUAUGUCUUCUAAAGCUAAAUACCGGCCAGAGACCGAUAGCGCACAAGUAGAGUGAUCGAAAGAUGAAAAGCACUUUGAAAAGAGGGUUAAAUAGUACGUGAAAUUGUUGAAAGGGAAGCGUUUGUGACCAGACUUGGGCCCGGUUAAUCAUCCAGCGUUCUCGCUGGUGCACUUUGCCGGCCCAGGCCAGCAUCAGUUCGCGCCGGGGGAUAAAGGCUUCGGGAAUGUGGCUCCUCCGGGAGUGUUAUAGCCCGCUGCGUAAUACCCUGGUGCGGACUGAGGUUCGCGCUCCGCAAGGAUGCUGGCGUAAUGGUCAUCAGCGACCCGUCUUGAAACACGGACCAAGGAGUCGUCUUCGUAUGCGAGUGUUCGGGUGUCAAACCCCUACGCGUAAUGAAAGUGAACGUAGGUGAGAGCUUCGGCGCAUCAUCGACCGAUCCUGAUGUUCUCGGAUGGAUUUGAGUAAGAGCAUACGGGGCCGGACCCGAAAGAAGGUGAACUAUGCCUGUAUAGGGUGAAGCCAGAGGAAACUCUGGUGGAGGCUCGCAGCGGUUCUGACGUGCAA